This 1622-nucleotide long non-coding RNA is filed under the name Marmota monax (woodchuck). The record is from RNAcentral. Lineage: Eukaryota; Metazoa; Chordata; Mammalia; Rodentia; Sciuridae.
GUCAGGAAUAGCCAGAUGUUUCUUGACACAUGCUUUAAUCUUUAUCUCACGGAUCUAGCAAACAUGUAAAUGAAGCAUUUCCCUUUUCCCGUCAACUGCCAGGAAGCUCUGGCCCCUAUAUGUAGCCCACAAGUCAUUUGGUCCUUCCUUCCUUCCUUCCUUCCUUCCUUCCUUCCUUCCUCCCUCCCUCCCUCCCUCCCUUCUCUUCUUUCUUUUUUCUUUCUUGCAGUGCUAGGGAUGGAACUUAGGGCCUCAAGUGCUCUACCACUGAGCUCCGUCCCCAGCUGCUGUCACGGCUCUUUGUAUGCUGCCCUUAUUCCAGGUUCUUUCAGACUUUCAACACCCUUGUUUUUCCCGUGCCUCAUUUUGUCACCUCAUUUUCCUCUGGGAGGAGAAAACCUUGCUGUUUUACGUGUUUUUAGCCUUAACUAAACAAACAUCUAUGGCGGAGCCGCACUGCUGGCUACUGCAGGCCUGGGAUUGAGCGCUGCCCCUCCCUCCGGCUCCCCCUGCCUGGUUCCUGGCACCCCAGAGCCUCGGGAAUCCCUCCACCCAGCUCCCGAGUCUGGGCAGAAGGGGGCGGGUAGCUUCUUUUCUCCCUGCCCCCCCCCUUGGAUUUGGUGACAUGUUUUGGGGAGGAGCUGGGAAGGGUGUCAUGUCCGAGGGAAGCCUCAGCUGUCCCCACAGCCCUCGGGCCCCCUGGAGGUCCUGCUCUAACCCAGGAGACUCCAGCCACUGCUGUCCCUGGUCCCCCCAUCCCCCACCCCCAGAGGGAGAGCCCAAUGCUAGGGACAGGUGGUGGCCUCAACCAGGUGCCUUGGAAAGGGGGAGGGGAGGACAACUGGCAGUACCCUGGGCAGGAGAGCAGGCUCCAGGAGGUGCCAGGGCUAGGUUUUAGUGCCCCCCCCCUCACCAGUCUCCUCUUCAGCUCUUGCAUUGGGAGACUUCACUUUGUCCCCAAGGUUAAUAAAUUGAGCCAAAAGCUUGGUGUGAAUGUGCCCCCUUCCAUCGUCUGACUGUCCCUCCCUCCGGGGCACCUACAGUUCAGUGUUGUGCCUAUGUACAAGUGUCCCCCACCCAGCCCCCGAAGGUCUGAGCUGGUGGUGGGUCCUGCACCGUGUCUUCUGGCCAGAGCUUUCCUGACCCUACGCUGAGCGAUGUCCUCACGUCACCUAAGCCCAUCUGUGGGGCCUGCUGGCUACAGUGAGUUGAAGAGAAGACCCCAGGGCAGCGGCUGGCUCUGAGGAAGGAGCCAGGCCUCUGGGAAGGGCGAGCUCGGGGUCUGGGCUGCAGGAGGCCUGGGGAACUUCCAGUUGGGUGCAAAACUGUGGGUACAGAUGUUUUUCCUGGGAUGAGGGAUUGCAUUUUUAAGGGGCCAGUGGCCCAGGGAAGGUGAGGAGCAGUGCUUUGGUGCCCAGAGCGGGAAGGGAGGCUACAGCUCUGUCGAGGGCUCUGGUUCUCAGGGAUGGCCACAGAUCAGGCUGAGGGGGUGGGGACAGACGCAGCUCGGGGUUCUUCUGGAAGGUGACUGGACUUUUCCCCUGCUGACGGGCGAUCCCUGUCUGCUGUGACGGUGGCCCUGCCUGUCCCUGGGAAUGCAGUGUGGGGCCUUCUGAGCUGAC